CCCUUAGAUGUUCUGGGCUGCACGCGCGCGACAAUGACGUUUGCAACGAGAUUGCGAGGCCGUCAGGUCGAGCUGAUCUUGCAAGCUGCGUCGUGAUAGGGACAGUCGAUUGCAAUUAUUCGACUCGAACGAGGAAUUCCUUGUAAUCGCGCAUCAUCAGUGCGCGCUGAAUACGUCCCUGCCCUUUGUACACACCGCCCGUCGCUACUGCCAACUGAGAUGGGUCCUGAAUUGUUAGGAACGCCCGUCAAGGGGCCUACCCGGUCCCUAGUGCGGUGACGAGAAUAACUGUAAAUGGCAUAUCUUGUAGGGAGUAAAAGUCGUAACA
This 328-nucleotide ribosomal RNA is filed under the name uncultured eukaryote. Its description in RNAcentral is "partial 18S ribosomal RNA". It matches the Rfam family "Eukaryotic small subunit ribosomal RNA", at positions 1470 to 1796 of the family's 1831-position model. The record is from RNAcentral.